CUCGUAGGCGGUUCGUCGCGUCCGGUGUGAAAGUCCAUCGCUUAACGGUGGAUCCGCGCCGGGUACGGGCGGGCUUGAGUGCGGUAGGGGAGACUGGAAUUCCCGGUGUAACGGUGGAAUGUGUAGAUAUCGGGAAGAACACCAAUGACGAAGGCAGGUCUCUGGGCCGUUACUGACGCUGAGGAGCGAAAGCGUGGGGAGCGAACA
This 207-nucleotide ribosomal RNA is filed under the name uncultured bacterium. RNAcentral describes it as "partial 16S ribosomal RNA". It matches the Rfam family "Bacterial small subunit ribosomal RNA", at positions 568 to 774 of the family's 1533-position model. The record is from RNAcentral.